This 451-nucleotide ribosomal RNA is filed under the name Pseudomonadota bacterium. RNAcentral's name for it is "bacterial SSU rRNA". It matches the Rfam family "Bacterial small subunit ribosomal RNA", at positions 1 to 456 of the family's 1533-position model. Lineage: Bacteria; Pseudomonadati; Pseudomonadota. The record is from RNAcentral.
CUUGAGAGUUUGAUCCUGGCUCAGGACGAACGCUGGCGGCAUGCCUAAUACAUGCAAGUCGAACGAGAAAGUUCCUUCGGGGACGAUUAAAGUGGCGCACGGGUGAGUAACGCGUAGACAAUCUGCCCUUCAGUCUGGGACAACUUUUCGAAAGGAGAGCUAAUACCGGAUGACAAUAUAACACAUAAGUGUCAUAUUUGAAAGCUCCGGCGCUGAAGGAGGGGUCUGCGUCCCAUUAGCUAGUUGGUAAGGUAAAGGCUUACCAAGGCAACGAUGGGUAGCGGGUUUGAGAGGACGAUCCGCCACACUGGAACUGAGACACGGUCCAGACUCCUACGGGAGGCAGCAGUAGGGAAUAUUGCACAAUGGAGGAAACUCUGAUGCAGCAAUGUCGCGUGAGUGAAGAAGGCCCUUGGGUCGUAAAGCUCUUUUAUGGGGGAAGAUGAUGACG